CUUAUUGCUAUUUUGAGCACAGCUGACAACAGGAAAGAAGCAAAACCUGGGAUCUGCAACAAACGAAAGAAAUUUAAAGUGCAAGAACAUUUUUAUUUUUCCUUUUUCUUAAUUUUUUACAUUUGUUUAUUUUAAUGCAUUAUCUAUAUAUUACAGUAAAAAAUAGGGAUAGACUCCAUAAGAGUGAGACAUGCUUAGGUAAAUAUCUGGUUUGCGUUUUGUUUUAUUUAUUUAUUUAUUUAUCUCAUUUUAUUGUGCUUUUCUUUCUUUUUAAUACAUUAUAUGACAUGUAAAUUAAUGGUAAAAUCUAUACUGUAGUGC
Pelobates cultripes (western spadefoot toad) is the source of this 321-nucleotide non-coding RNA. The record is from the annotation of a GenBank genome assembly. NCBI's taxonomy places the organism in Eukaryota, Metazoa, Chordata, Amphibia, Anura, Pelobatidae.